UAGCGCUGCCAUAAGCAUCGCAAACCACUCGAGUACCUUCAUUCCCCGCGUAGAACUGUUCAAGAAAAGCACAUGUCAAACCAACAGCGCGGAGGAGCCGGCUUCCCGUGUCAGAGUUGUGUGUAAUUGCGGGCUACUUCACCAUCAUCAGCCCAUUGGCAGUAUUGUAGGGAUGGACAUAUGGAUUGAGUGGUACCCUCCUGAAAGAUACACAUCUCAGCAGCCAAGAACUUCAAUAAAAAUGGAAGAGGUAUGAAAUUCUCAACUUAGGAAGGAACAUCCAACCUGUAAUGUGUCGAUCACUAACUAAUAAACAUGAAUAUGAUGUUGGAAAGAAGCAAUUGGAUAUCAAAGCAAAAGGAUCACGGCUCCUCUUACAAAUCAGUGAAGUAUUCUAAUUCUGGCGAUCUAAGCGUCGGUCCAGGCGGCGCUCCCUCGGCUACGCCUGGGUGUUCGAGCUGUCAGUGUGGUACAGGAGCAUCAGCCACCACCGCUGCCAAGGAGCUCCAGCAACCACAUGAUCACUCUUGCUUCACAGACUAUGUAUGGUCAGUUCAGAAAAUUGGAGGUUUUAGGAUCUUUGGAAGUUCUUUGAGGCAUCACCCUUCUUCUCCGCAGUUGAAAGGUGUGUGUGAGUCAGAGAAAAACACUUUUGCUUUAUUUAUGUUCCAACUUUGGCAAG
Long non-coding RNA from Triticum aestivum (bread wheat), 682 nucleotides. RefSeq lists it as uncharacterized. The transcript has 6 exons. The record is from RefSeq and is a predicted model, not a curated record. NCBI's taxonomy places the organism in Eukaryota, Viridiplantae, Streptophyta, Magnoliopsida, Poales, Poaceae.